RNAcentral lists this ribosomal RNA (515 nucleotides) under uncultured bacterium. RNAcentral describes it as "partial 16S ribosomal RNA". It matches the Rfam family "Bacterial small subunit ribosomal RNA", at positions 28 to 523 of the family's 1533-position model. The record is from RNAcentral.
GAUGAACGCUGGCGGCGUGCCUAAUACAUGCAAGUCGAGCGAAUGGAUUAAGAGCUUGCUCUUGUGAAGUUAGCGGCGGACGGGUGAGUAACACGUGGGUAACCUGCCCAUAAGACUGGGAUAACUCCGGGAAACCGGGGCUAAUACCGGAUAACAUUUUGAACCGCAUGGUUCGAAAUUGAAAGGCGGCUUCGGCUGUCACUUAUGGAUGGACCCGCGUCGCAUUAGCUAGUUGGUGAGGUAACGGCUCACCAAGGCAACGAUGCGUAGCCGACCUGAGAGGGUGAUCGGCCACACUGGGACUGAGACACGGCCCAGACUCCUACGGGAGGCAGCAGUAGGGAAUCUUCCGCAAUGGACGAAAGUCUGACGGAGCAACGCCGCGUGCGUGGUGAAGGCUUUCGGGUCGUAAAACUCUGUUGUUAGGGAAGAACAAGUGCUAGUUGAAUAAGCUGGCACCUUGACGGUACCUAACCAGAAAGCCACGGCUAACUACGUGCCAGCAGCCGCCGUAA